This is a long non-coding RNA of Pezoporus occidentalis (night parrot), 1815 nucleotides long. RefSeq lists it as uncharacterized. The record is from RefSeq and is a predicted model, not a curated record. The transcript has 3 exons. Lineage: Eukaryota; Metazoa; Chordata; Aves; Psittaciformes; Psittacidae.
UUAAGCACCCUGCUAAGAAUUAGGAAAUUAGUCAAAUGGGAUCAUAUUUAGGUUGAGCUAAUACUGCACAGCUGAAUUUACCCACCAUUAUCUGCGGGCAUAAUUGGAGACAACUGUUUUUUGGACCAGCUGUGCAGGUCACAAAAGGAUAAUAAUGGGGGCCCAGCCUUGCUAUGUCAGAUUGAUAAAUGUUUAUAGCACCGUGUGACUGGAGGAGCUGGCUUUAAACAGUGCAGCCUCUUCUUUGCGUCUGCUUGUUGGCUGUUGAUCCCCGGGUCCUGAAAACAUAGGGAGAUUUAUCAGACAAGGCCUCCGAUAUUCAUGAACACAGCAGACGCUGAUAACACCAGCUAUUCCCAGGUUUCCAGUCUCCAGAGCAAAAUGAUCUUGCUUUCUCUGCUCAAGAUGGCAUCAUAGAACUUCCUCCAGGAUCUUACUGUUAUAAAAUACAUCAGAAAAGACCCUCUGCUGUCAGAAUUAGCAUUUCCACCACAAACCAAACCAUGUUUCUAAUCCAUUCCUUUCUAAAUUAGCGAUGUUUCUUGAUGGUAUGGGAAGGGGGAAGGGACAACAACAGUUGUAAAAUGUUUUUUAUUGAAACUUAAAGGCAAUUAUUUCUGAAUUCCCAUCUCCUUAAUUCAAAGUGUCACUGUUUUGUGUUUAAUCAGUACUUAACAAGCCUUAUUGUGAAGCGAAAGACCUAAACAAUGUCUGUAAUAGGCUGGGAGGGUUAGCUGAACUUUGUUUAAAUAUAAAGGGAGUAGUGCAUCUGCUGAAGAACUAAGCCCUUUCAAAGUUUAGGACACUCACCAGUGCCAUGCAGCAUAAAUCACAGUGCAAACUGUGUGAUUAUACCCUGCAGGGAAAUAGACUGUGUGUUUAUGGGGCUCUUCACCAAGCACUUAGGAAUAAUCUGAUAUAAAGCAGCAGGGGAGGAGAGUAAUGACAACUUCAAAUUAGUUUAAUGAAUGUUUACAUUAAAAAAGGCUUUUCCACAAACCUGAAAACACAAAGUGACGGUUUCCUCUCCAGACAAAAACCCCCUCUGCUUUUCCUUAGAGUACUGGAUGGAGGAGACAUUGUAAAUUUAACUCUUUCAGUACAAUAAGCCAUAGUAUCUUUAUGUUCAGUGGUUUGCUGUCAUUAUAAUGAGAGUUGCUAGCAAUCCAAUUAUAAACAGCAGUAUCUGGCUGGUAGCUCAUCUAUUUUAAAUCACACUGAUCUCAGGGAAAAAAAAAAGAACAAAGGUUGAGAAUUUCAUUCCCAUGAAAGAACAAACAUCUCAAAAUGAACUUUGCCAACUUUCUGUGGAACACAUGCUUAGUAUAUCUUUGGCUGUAUUCAUUCAACAGGCUAAUGUGAGGUUUGAGAGAUUCUUUUCACUUCAAGCAACAUACAAUGAGUUUAUAAAGAUAAAAAAGGGAGGAAGGGCAAAGUGUUAAACAAAAUAGAAAUAAUGCAGUACUUCUAGUUUUCUUCUCAGACUCAAGGUAAAUAAUUUCUCAAUAUUCCCACAUAUGCACAAGGCGCCAUCAUAUAUACAGUGAAUUCUUGGGUAGUUUGGAAGAAUAAACAGCUUGUGCCUCUGUAGCAGUUAAGAUCCUUCUAUCUGAGGACUUACUGUGCAUUUCAGAUCCGGCAUUGCAGGAUUUUUCACUGCCACAAGGUAUUUUCAUGAAACAUUUUUAAAACUUUUUUCAGUGGGGCAUUUUGAAUUGCAUCAGGUGGAAAUUUGUUUUUUGCCUUUACAGAGUAGAUGCAAAGUUUUCCACUAAGAAUUCUGCGAAUGAGUAAGCAUAUAUAAAGAAAAGAAAA